UUUAUCACCAGCCAUAUUUGCUGAUAAAAAAAAAAACAUUUAUUUCCAAUAAGCUAGUUACCUAAUUAAUUAUGGGACCAAUUAGCUUGUAUAUGCUGAAGUAUAUACAAGGCAUACAUCUCAAACUGUGAAAGAGUACUGUGGGGGAGCUCCACCUUGUUGGAAAUACAAAUGAAAUACAUUUAAAAUAGUUUGUGAUACCAUUUGAAAUAAUGUAUGAGGCAACCAUUUGACCUACCAAAUUUCAAGUUGAUAAAAUGUCUUAUUACUACACAUUUUUGCCUUCUAGUUCCUUAUACAUCAAUAUUUUUGAUUUUUAUAGGAGUUAUUUAAGCAACAAACUAACAUAAAACUAAUAAAAAACAGUAGGACAAGCAAUUAUUAAUAACAGCAACUAUUAUUGGUUUUAAAUUUAAAAAUAAGAUAAGCACCAGUUAUCAGAAAAUAAAUACAAAAGGAGUAAAUAGUUGACAUACCACAAAUAUGUCAUUAAACCUCAAAUAUGUAAUUGAACUAGUUACAGAUUGAUCCUGAACAAGUAACAAAACAUCUGCGAACAGCAAGAUUUCAAACUAGAAGUUCAGGACUGGUCACUGUGAACACUCUUUUUAACAAUGUGCAUUUGGAGCGAGAAAAGAUUACUUACCCCGUCGCUUUGAAGCCGUUUUCUCAUUAAAAACAGGAAUAAGAAGCCGGAAUUCCUUGAAAAUGAGAAUUAAAAGUGCUAAAACUUCAGAAAAACAUCAAACAUAAAGCCAACGUUUAGCUAUCUUCUCCUGUCAAAAUGGACCGGGCGAACUGCUGACUUGCUGUCUGUCAAGUGUCAAAACUGCUCGCAUCUGCCGACAAAGUGAUGAUCAAGUUUUGUGGUAAGCUUGGCAAAAGCUGGAGUGACUUGUUCCUUAAUACAGUUGUUGAGAAACCAGAUAUCCACACCUAUGGUUGCUCUUUUAACUUUUAAAUCUUUUACACGCUUAUUUAAACUGUCCAAACCAUUCAUUUUGGCAUUUACUUUAUUUUUUUAAAUAAAGCACAUUAUUGGGAACAACCACUUUUGAAAUGCAUUUUUUUUUUCAAUAAUUUGAUAUCAUUAUCUUUUAAAUCAGUUGACAAAUAAGCCCAUAAGAAGAAUAAG
RNAcentral lists this long non-coding RNA (1135 nucleotides) under Anthonomus grandis grandis. Its description in RNAcentral is "uncharacterized LOC126734180". Lineage: Eukaryota; Metazoa; Arthropoda; Insecta; Coleoptera; Curculionidae. The record is from RNAcentral.